CACGUGAGCAACCGUGUCCUUUGGUGGUGGGGGAGUAGCCGGGCUAACGCCCGGGUAAUACCGCAUACGGUCCGUUGGGGGAGUCCCUGGCGGAAGAAACCUGAGGGGCACAGAGAGGGGCUCGCGGCCUAUCAGCUAGUUGGUGUGGGUAAUGGCCCACCAAGGCGACGACGGGUAGCUGGUCUGAGAGGAUGGCCAGCCACAUUGGGACUGAGAAACGGCCCAG
This 226-nucleotide ribosomal RNA is filed under the name uncultured bacterium. RNAcentral's name for it is "partial 16S ribosomal RNA". It matches the Rfam family "Bacterial small subunit ribosomal RNA", at positions 114 to 334 of the family's 1533-position model. The record is from RNAcentral.